Molecule: long non-coding RNA, 7338 nt
Organism: Gallus gallus (chicken)
Lineage: Eukaryota; Metazoa; Chordata; Aves; Galliformes; Phasianidae
Exons: 4
Source: RefSeq, a predicted model, not a curated record
GCCCCCGGCAGCGGCACACUGGAACAGGUUGCUUAAGGAGGUUGUGGAUGCCCCAUCCCUGGAGGCAUUCAAGGCCAGGCUGGAUGUGGCUCUGGGCAGCCUGGUCUGGUGGUUGGCAACGGUUGGUGAAAGGUUUCUGUAGGUCGGUGGAAGUCAUAGGAAUGAAGGACAGCUGGACCUUCGAGCACAGAGCGAUACAACAACAAACUGCACCUGGCACAGAGGCACAGGAUUUCUAAGAAGGGCUCACGACUUCAGGGAACACAGCCAACCCAGCCCUACUUUCGUCAGCCACCGCACACAUGCGGCAUUCGUCAUACAGCAGCCUCACUCCCAGCUCCUGUUCGGAAUGCUCACUGUUUGUGAAGUCUUCACGGAGGAUUCUCCAUCUGAUUUCAGAAGGAAACAGCCGGACUGCAAGAAACGCACGUGACACGUCCAAGAACUACAGCCUUCGGAUCUACAAAGCUAUUGCAGCCUCACACGUCAAGGACCACCCUGCUCUGCUAUGACACAGUCAUAUCCACCUACUGAGCAUGCAGAAGCUGAACAAUUUGUAAGCUGGGCCCUAUCUUUUAGAGAGGCAACUGGCCUUAACUAACAAAUUAUUGAUGACUGUGUAAUUCUCCAUCAGAUUAAUAUGUCCCAGUUAAUUAUCUUAACUACAAAGAAUUACUGGAUGUUAUUUACACUGUGAACUUUGCUGACACCAGAGCCAUGAUCCAUCUUUCACCAUGUAUUUGCCAAACAGAUUAAAAAUCCCCCUGGUACUGAGCAUCUCAUGCCAGUACCGGUGCUUGCAGGUUGUUCCAAGCAGCUUUUUGUCUUCUCCAUGCCAUGCUGAAACGCUGAAUCUUCUUCCUUCUCAACCAUAGUUUGCCCCAAGUUCUGCCCAGAUGGAUGGCAACCUUGAGAUCUCUCACCAGAGCUACACAGCACAUUCUCUGACAGCGAUCUCAAGAAUGACAGAAGAAACCACUCUCUCCAUAUUCUUACACUUACCUAUUUUAACCUAUGCAGGCCUACUGAAAGCAGCAUUAAUGAGUCAUACUGUUGAAGUUUCUAGCUAUAAACCAGCAUGCUCUGCUGAAAUAGUCUGCAGUGGCCCUUUUCCAUGACUCCUACUGCCUCCAGCCCUUAAUUUCACAAUCUUUUCCACCUGUAGAUAAUCUUGCUCUCAAAAUUCCUUUCUUCACAUAGCACCACUUGCACAAGUUCCUGUGAAAAUUAUAUUCCAACAUAAAGUACUGAGCUAGUAAGGGAGGAUCUGUACACAUCACAGGAGUACUACAGUGUAAACAAGCAUGAUAUUAAAUGAUAGUUAUUAGGCAGCGCGGUAAGUAAUGCUUGUUCUACAACCAGCUUAGUGCAGCUGUUCAGCCUAGCACAGCCAGCCUUCCUCAGGCACACAAAUGGCAACAAGUUGUUUCCUCAUCCCAGCCAGCAGCACUGCUACUUUCUCUCACAAAGGGCAGAAAUAAGACCACAGUGCAUGGGGCUCCCGGAUAAACUUGUGUCUGAGCGUCAUGCUUGAGUAAAGCACCUCAGUAGUACUGGAAGAGAAGACUUCUUUUUCUGCAUCAAGUGGAAACCUAAGGGAGGAAGUCUCACCCAUCCAGUUACAUCACAUUAGCUGCAAAGCAGAAGAGAAGGUCAAUAAGGAAAGAAAAACCUCACAUUUAGUCAUUCAAAAGCUGAGACCUCUUGUCCAAAAUUAUUUAAUAGUAUGCUAACCUUGGUGAUACCUUUCUAUUUUUAAUCAGUAGGUUCCAGCCUCAGUAGUUCAGUAACGCUAGCCUGUACAUUUAUGAUGAGCUUAUGGUGGACUUGUUAGAGCAAUUCCUCCUUUACACUUCAGCAAAAAUCCCCAGACUAUUAUCAGGUACUACAUGCUCUCUAAUAUUUUAGUCUUUGAUGAAGUGAAAAGUAAGGCAUUAGAAGGCAGUGGGUUGAACGUUUCCAAUAAAUACGGAUGACACGAUUGAGAAGACACAGCCAGAAGACUGGCCUUCAUCAGUACGGUUCCAGACAGGAAAAGCAGAGAAGCAGAGCAUAUAAGGCAGUUUAUAACCAGGACACAAGAUACCACCUCUCAGGCUACAAGACCAGAGAAACUGCUCCAGUAGUGCACAGCUGAAAGGUGUCCUUGACUAAUUUCCCAGAGCCCCUGGGCUCCCCAGCUCUCUCACCACCACUUGCUACAUUAAUUGCUGUCUCCUACAUCUUCUGUCCACCUCCUGUGCUCUGACACUAGCUGUUUCUUCCUAGGGUGAGAAUUACAGCAGGGCCAGCAAGAUAUCCUGGAGGAUAGUAUGAAAGAAAUUUAAGAACCACUACAGCAUAUUGAUUUUAUGUUUCCUAAAUAUGUCUGUUUAAUUACUACAUAUUCAAACCAUAAAUUACUUUAAUGCAUAGCACGAGCCGAUUUACACAGCACCACAUGUAUUACACUCAAAAGCAUUUGAGGCAAACUAAAUGAGCCCAGAGGAAGGGAGAGACACUGUGAGAGUUCACUUUGCCUGAGGACAGCACAGCAAAAGUACCACUGGAGCCUCAAGUAGAAACAAGGGAAAGCUGGCACUACUGCUGCAAGAAGCACUCUUGUUAUCCCUGAGCCACUCAUUUCCACCCACCUGCUGGCACAAAGGUGGGAAACCAACCUCAAUUAAAAUUUGGCAAAAAAAAAAAAGGGGGGGGGGGGGAGGGGGGAAGUUUAGUUUUAACCCACAUCAGUCCCUUGAUUGGGUUUACCACACAGAAUCUUCUGUAAACAAAGGGGGGAAAAAACUGCCAGAAGGAGAACUGCUUCUUGAGCAGAAGUGCCAGCCUACCCCAUGUUAAACUGCUUCUGGAAGAGCUGUACAAGAGAAGCACAGGGAUGAUUCAGUAUCUAGAUGAUUUCGUACUCAACCUCACAUGUAGAACACUUUGCACUUUGAACCUAAGGACUUAAAACCACCCCAGCCUCACAAAAAAAUCCAAGGCAAAGUGCCUAGAAGAAAGUACAUCAGAUUGCUUUUUUUUUUUUUUAAGCUAGUUACAAGUAGACAGGAUUUCUAGUUACUUCUCAGCCAGAACAGUAAUAUAAAUUUACUGUAUCAGCUGAAGCCCAGUUGGGUCAGCUGUGCAUUCCAGCUCAGUAGAGGCUGUAAGAAAUACCCAAUCUUUACUGGCAUCCCACACAGGAGGUAGCAGUCAACUGUAUUCAUUGUAGGCGUCAAAGCUUCCGGUUCAAUGGAGAUGCAACAUCCCAAGUCACCCAAUGCAAGUAAUACAUUUUCAUAUGGAGGAACUAGGACUCCUGGCUCAUCAUAUCAGGCCUCUCAUUACAUGCAGUGUUGUACCCUUACCUAGAUGGAGUACCAGCCAACUGGAGCCACUCAGACAACAUUCACUGCAAGGCUGUUCCCAAGCCAUCACUGUUCUCAUAGUUACACAUUCUUCUGAUUUCCACCCAAAUUAAUUCCAGUUCUAACCAUAUGCUCUUUCAGUACUUGAUGCGAGUCAAUACUCCUUACCCACAGCCUCUAUCUUUAGAGAGCUACCAUGCCAUUCAGCUUUCAUUCUAUCUAAAGGCAAGAUCCCAGCCUCCUUCUUUAACACUGGCUCUUAGUUCCUGCUACUGUCACACCAGCUCUUCUUCACACUCCUUCACAUUAAUUCUCCUUAAACACAAUUGACCAAAACUGCUGACAGCACUCUGAACACAAACCCUGGACAAGAGCAAAAGCUUUUUCUCAUCUCUACUGGAAGUAUUUUCCUGACAUAACCUACAUUUGCGUUUCAGCAACAUAAUAUGACUCAGUUGCUGAGAAAAACCACACUCAGAGGUGAACUGGUUUCUGGUCCAUGAGGCAUACAGCAACGUUGCCCAGCUACAUCAGAGCUGAGCAAAGUGUGAAUCACGAAAUCCUGAUGGAAAUGGGAAUUUACAGAGGUGCCAUGGAGAAGUUACUGAAACUGGAUGCAUGCCCAGAACAUCAACGUGAAUACUCUGGCUCUUGCAUGCAUUGGCCUAAACUCCUUUAAGCACUUGCAGGAAAAACAAAAAGCGCACACCUUCCGCAGGAACAAAUGCAAUCCAAUUAAUUAUGUUGCAACUGCAUUCCUUCACCUGCAGCCUACUAACAGAGCUGCAAUUUGACCACAGUUGAGUUACUUUUCCUAUAAUGGCUUAAAUUCAGACCGGUGGAAGUAACAGGGUUAUGUGAGAGAUCAGCAUUUGCUUAUGCUGUUAAGGCUCUACUUUGCUCUUCGAUGCACACUAAAGCAGAGCUGCUAUAAAGAAGCUCAUAAGAAGUUGAUUUCCAGAGUUAGAGCUCAGGAGUAAAAAUAAUCCAGUGACAGGAACAGCCAGCAUUGUACACCAGUUUAGAGCAGACUUUAGAGAAAAAGGGGAAAUUCCAAAUUUCUUAAGAAUCUCAGCCUCAUUCAACUUUAAGCAGUGUGAGUCCCUCCCCAGAGGGAUGUGCCUGACUGAAACAGAUCUCUUUGUAACUGAUAGCUGGGCCUAGGCUUAUUUAAAGCAUCUGGUGCUCUAAAUUUAGCUGAACUGUAUCAGCAACUUGCAAAAUGCACUGAGGUACAGUGGAAGAGGCAGGAGAGGGAGCAGGGGGAAGAAGACCGCCUGAACAAAUGAAAGGACUUCAGAGAAGGUGACAAAUCAGCAAUUCUCAUAAGCUUGGAGCUUCCUCCCAUAUAGGCUCAGCUUAGCGCCAUGCUGUGUAAAGGCAAACAAAUCAACAGAUCUGCCUAAGCUCUGUAAUGCUAACUUGGGAAGGAGUGGAGAGAAGAAUACUCCCUGAUCUUGUGAGAAGCACAUACAGCUUCAGGACCUUGGAAGGUUUGCGUCACGAUUUCACGAAGCAGUUAGAGGUAUGAGAACUUACCUAUAACUCUUCAUUGCAUUUAAAUAUGCUGAAUUGGUACUUUGGUGUUACAUUCAGCAUUCUUCAGCUGUGGUGCCAUUUCCACAGAGCCAGCUAUAGUGCUAGCCAGCACCAUGAUGUCCCAUUGCAGCAGUUGCCUUCUGCAUUGGGCUGCUCUGGAGGCUUUGUGGUCAGCGAGUGGGAUUGCUAGAGACUAUAAGGUGUGCUGAACUGCAACACACAGAGGCUUGGAGGCAGUCUUCUGAUACGUAUAUACAGAAUAUAUAUAAAGGAAAAAAAGCUAUGCAUGACUUUAAGACAGUGGUACCACACACACACGACCCAGCUCCCUACUUUGAGCAAUUCUUCACCAUGUGGCCAAGAUAUGCUGCCACAUAAUACCACCAACGUGCAAUUCAGAAAAUCUGUAACCAAAAUUCAAAGCUACUGAGCAACAGGUGAAUUGGCAACACAUUGCCACUGUGAAAGCAAUAAAGGAUAGGGGAAAUUAUUUACACCUGCUCUACAAAGACUCAGUUUACUACAGACAACACUACUUGAGUCCUUCCCAUUGCUAUUUUUCCUCAAGCAAACACAGUCUAAAAUAGAUUUUCAAAUUCCAGAACUAACAAUAACAACAAUUAUGAAUGCAAUAAGUGGAAAAAAAAAAAAAAAGUGGCCCUCUAGAGAUUCAUGAAGUUCACUGAGAGAACAAGGAAUUACCUUCGUUUUUCAAAUCACGUUUAAGGGAAAAAAAAGGGAAACAUAAUGGGUUUCUAAAUUACUAAAACCAUUCAGGAGAUGAGGGAAGAUUGAACAUAAUGCCAAGCAGCACAAAAGCAGGUGGGAGACAAUGGUAAUUAUGAAGUUAGAAGCUGGUGUUUAAGCCAUCAAAGUAAAAACAAAACAAUUUUAAGCAGAUUACCAAAAAAAAAAAAAAAUCACUUUCCCUGAACUAAGAGGUCCUCUGUAAAAGAGGUCACCUAACAUACUUUGAUGACAGAAACACGAAUCCAAGUGCUGUUAACACAUUACGUGUUACUUUGAAUUCAGAGAGCUAAGGAAGAGGGCUGCAAGCACUGCGUUGAGAACCCAAACUUCACCAUCUGAGAUAUCAAAGUGUCAGUGAACCUGCCAGUUGCUUUUUUAAUUCCUCCUCUGCCAAAGUAGAAGGUUUACAAUUCCAGCUGAUACUAUGUCUCUUUGUGCUUCCCAAAUCUCUCUGUGCUUCAUGUUGUGUGUGUUACUAUGCAACACAGGCGCUCCCAGAAAGAAGAUGCUCAGAUGGAGUCAGUUUGUCAACAGAACUGGUCCACAGUUCUGAAUUAAAUACUGGAGACAGAUCCAAUCCCUUCAAACAACACAUUACUUUCUAUAUGCCAGAGUUGAAGCUUUAGAUCUAUUUUGGGACCUAUCUUCUGAAAGCGCUCUGAUCUUUGUAGCAUGACAAACAAUUUGCUUUUGUUCCAGAGAAACCCAAUGCGAUGCUUUCCUUCUGAUGCGUUCAUCUACUCCUUUCAAUCUCUCACUGCAUUUAAACGGGAUUUUUGUUUUAAUUCUAUCAUCUCAUUUGCCUCUGUGAAUUUUAAGAGAACACCUGGAUUCAAUAGGAAGAUUUUAUCCAGCACAAGAAGUUGCUGUGUGGUGCUGUGUUUUGACAAGACAGGCACACGAUGCUCUUGAAAGAGAUGAAGAAAUACCAGAAAAGCAGAAAUACGCCAGCCAAAAACCUGAAGGCAUCCAUUCUCACGGCACAUUGGUGAUAAAGCAAUGAAAUAUAAGUAAAGUCUGGUGCUCUGGGAGCAAAAGAAGUUAAGGACUGUUGUAUUGUUUUGGGUGUUUUUUUGUUUGUUUUAAUAAAAAGAAGUUAGAAAAGCUCCCUGGAAGAACUCCUGUGCAGCACAAGCAAAGCUGUGGCCCAGAACCUGACAGAGCAUGGCAGCAGAGCAGGCAGCUCAGGCUGCAAUCUGCCCCAGGACCCUCAGGCUCCCACCAGCAGGGCUCCAGUCAGCACAGCCAAACUCCACGGCUCAGUCACUCAGUUGGGCCAGUAGAGGGUGAAAGGAAAUAGUCCUCAAAUUAGGACUGAGCAAACACCAAGCCAUUUAGCACUUUGUCCUCACUAAGCGCCCCAUUUCACCUACAGCAUUCCAAGAGAUUGUUCAAGACCCUAAUGCACCUACCUAGCAUUGGCUAUGAACUGGUUCAUUUUUAAUUGUAAUCAGCAGCGAACCUCUUCCCCACAGAUACUUGUCAGCCCCUCACAAUGCAGGAAGUGGCUUAUGAGCUGCUCGAAAUGGCUAAGUACCUGUUAUCAGGCAGCCUUCCUGUGUGACCUCACCCCAAUUGCUAAUAAGCUAAACCCCUUACCAUUUCUUAGCAAAAGCUUAAGUGCUUCAGCUUCCAUUCACCCCGCCUUAAGCUGUGAAACUGGAAUAGUAAUACUCAGCCUUGCGUAACACAAGUUUCA